UACAGAGGUCUCAAGCGUUGUUCGGAUUCAUUGGGCGUAAAGGGCGCGUAGGCGGCGGGGUCAGUCGGGUGUGAAAUCUUGGGGCUUAACCCCGAAACGGCACUCGAAACUGCCCGGCUGGAGGGCCGGAGAGGAGAUCGGAAUUCACGGUGUAGCAGUGAAAUGCGUAGAGAUCGUGAGGAAGACCCGUGGCGAAGGCGGAUCUCUGGACGGCUAACUGACGCUGAGUCGCGAAGGCCAGGGGAGCAAACGGG
RNAcentral lists this ribosomal RNA (254 nucleotides) under uncultured bacterium. RNAcentral's name for it is "partial 16S ribosomal RNA". It matches the Rfam family "Bacterial small subunit ribosomal RNA", at positions 524 to 776 of the family's 1533-position model. The record is from RNAcentral.